This 375-nucleotide ribosomal RNA is filed under the name uncultured organism. RNAcentral describes it as "partial 16S ribosomal RNA". It matches the Rfam family "Bacterial small subunit ribosomal RNA", at positions 527 to 896 of the family's 1533-position model. The record is from RNAcentral.
GAACCGUCCAAACGUUAUUCGGAAUCACUGGGCUUAAAGGGUGCGUAGGCGGCGCGGGAAAGUUGGGGUGUGAAAUACCUCGGGCUCAACCGAGGAACUGCGCCCAAAACUGCCGUGCUCGAGGGAGAUAGAGGUGAGCGGAACUUAGGGUGGAGCGGUGAAAUGCGUUGAUAUCCUAAGGAACACCGGUGGCGAAGGCGGCUCACUGGAUCUCUUCUGACGCUGAGGCACGAAAGCUAGGGUAGCGAACGGGAUUAGAUACCCCGGUAGUCCUAGCCGUAAACGAUGAGCACUGGAUUGGAGGGUCCUCCAUAGCCUUCCAGUCGCAACGAAAGCGUUAAGUGCUCCGCCUGGGGAGUAUGGUCGCAAAGGCUG